RNAcentral lists this long non-coding RNA (422 nucleotides) under Carica papaya (papaya). Its description in RNAcentral is "long non-coding RNA (CPAP_LNC006780)". The record is from RNAcentral. Lineage: Eukaryota; Viridiplantae; Streptophyta; Magnoliopsida; Brassicales; Caricaceae.
CAGCCACGUCAGCAGGCCCGGUCAGCAGUCCCGGCCAACCGGGGCCUGCCACGUGGCAAGACCACGUCGCUCCGGAACGGGCCACGUUGGCGAUCCGCGUGGGCGCGAUCGGACGGCCCAGAUACAAUCGCACGGACGGCCCAGAUUCAAUCAAAAACGAACGGCCCAGAUUAAAACAAAAUGGACGGCUGAGAUCAAAAGGCUAGGGGUUAUAAAUAGAACCCCCACACCAGACCACAAACCCUAGCCGCCUGCCGCUCGCCGGAGAAGACGAACCAGAGGCCGACCGCCGCCACCCGCCGCCGCACCGGGGAAAUUUUCGACCGCUGAUCGAGGUAAAUUUCAUACCCCCGACUCGUUUUUCCACGUUGAUUCCUCCUGUGGCCAAAUCGAAGCCAAAAUCCCAGCCAAACGGCCGGAAU